CCUACGGGAGGCAGCAGUGAGGAAUAUUGGUCAAUGGGCGAGAGCCUGAACCAGCCAAGUCGCGUGAGGGAAGACGGUCCUAAGGAUUGUAAACCUCUUUUGUCAGGGAGCAAGAAGCGCCACGAGUGGUUCGGCGAGAGUACCUGAAGAAAAAGCAUCGGCUAACUCCGUGCCAGCAGCCGCGGUAAUACGGAGGAUGCGAGCGUUAUCCGGAUUUAUUGGGUUUAAAGGGUGCGGAGGCGGAAGCGGCAAGUCAGCGGUAAAAUUGCGGGGCUCAACCUCGCCGAGCCGUUGAAACUGCUCGUAUAGAGUGGGCGAGAAGUAUGCGGAAUGCGUGGUGUAGCGGUGAAAUGCAUAGAUAUUACGUAGAACUCCGAUUGCGAAGGCAGCAUACCGGCGCCGAACUGACGCUGAUGCACGAAAGCGUGGGUAUCGAACAGGAUUAGAUACCCCUGUAGUC
This 460-nucleotide ribosomal RNA is filed under the name uncultured bacterium. RNAcentral describes it as "partial 16S ribosomal RNA". It matches the Rfam family "Bacterial small subunit ribosomal RNA", at positions 338 to 795 of the family's 1533-position model. The record is from RNAcentral.